Molecule: non-coding RNA, 690 nt
Organism: Danio rerio (zebrafish)
Lineage: Eukaryota; Metazoa; Chordata; Actinopteri; Cypriniformes; Danionidae
Source: RefSeq, a predicted model, not a curated record
CACACACACACACAUUUUUAAAUACAACAACUUAAUUCUCACCUCUUCUGUGUUUUGCAUGACCCAAAUGACACAAACCAAACAAGAUGAGCAGCUCAAGUGGAAGUGACCUUGACUUUGUUGCCACUCAAGAGUUCAACAUCAGCAUGAAAAGAAUUGAAACAUUUUUGGUAUGCCAAGUAGACGAGUUACGGGAAUCGCAUAGAACCCUCAGAGAAGCAACGGAGACCUUGACAGAAAGAGAUCUUCCCGCUGUACAGAGUGAGCUGUCUGCUCUGAAAUCCACCAUCACAGACCAGGGCAGGCAAAUGGAGAAGCGACAGAGGCAACCGACAGCACCAACGAUGAAAGCGCCACCGACAACAGCGACAAGGAUAGUGACAACAUAGCCUCGCAGGCACCUGCUUUGUCUAUGCCAAAAGAAAGAGGAGUGAAGAAGACCUGGAUGACCUCCUGCAGCUAUUUUGGCCCACAAAUGCAAGAAUCAGGGAGCAGCUGAAUGAAAGGCAACAAGCCCAUGAAGGAAAGACUCCCGAUUACAAUAAUGCUAAAGAGAUGCGAGACGCCACCCAUUUACAAGAUGGAAAUAUGUCAGAGCUCAAAAGAAGAAGAUUAAGUGACAGACAGUCUGAGCAUGUUGUUGAUGUUACUGAGAGGAGCCAGGAAAAUAGCCCACAGCUACGUACAAUC